CACGUAGUUAGCCGGUGCUUCUUUACCCAUUACCGUCACUCACGCUUCGUCACAGGCGGAAGCGGUUUACAACCCGAAGGCCGUCAUCCCGCACGCGGCGUUGCUGCAUCAGGCUUCCGCCCAUUGUGCAAUAUUCCCCACUGCUGCCUCCCGUAGGAGUCUGGGCCGUAUCUCAGUCCCAAUGUGGCCGGUCACCCUCUCAGGCCGGCUACCCGUCAAAGCCUUGGUAAGCCACUAUCCCACCAACAAGCUGAUAAGCCGCGAGUCCAUCCCCAACCGCCGAAACUUUCCAACCCCCACCAUGCAGCAGGAGCUCCUAUCCGGUAUUAGCCCCAGUUUCCUGAAGUUAUCCCAAAGUCAAGGGCAGGUUACUCACGUGUUACUCACCCGUUCGCCACUCGAGCACCCACAAAAGCAGGGCCUUCCGUCGACUUGCAUGUGUUAAGCACGCCGCCAGCGUCGUCCUGAGCCAGGAUACGAACUCU
RNAcentral lists this ribosomal RNA (485 nucleotides) under uncultured Propionibacterium sp. Its description in RNAcentral is "partial 16S ribosomal RNA". Lineage: Bacteria; Bacillati; Actinomycetota; Actinomycetes; Propionibacteriales; Propionibacteriaceae. The record is from RNAcentral.